CAUGCAAGUCGAACGAGAAAGUGGAGCAAUCCAUGAGUACAGUGGCGACCGGGUGAGUAACACGUGACUAACCUGCCCUCGAGUGGGGAAUAACUCCGGGAAACCGGAGCUAAUACCGCAUAACAUCGCAAGAUCAAAGCAGCAAUGCGCUUGAGGAGGGGGUCGCGGCUGAUUAGCUAGUUGGUAGGGUAAUGGCCUACCAAGGCAAAGAUCGGUAUCCGGCCUGAAAGGGCGCACGGACACACUGGAACUGAAACACGGUCCAGACUCCUACGGGAGGCAGCAGUGGGGAAUUUUGCGCAAUGGGGGAA
This 311-nucleotide ribosomal RNA is filed under the name uncultured Actinomycetales bacterium. RNAcentral describes it as "bacterial SSU rRNA". It matches the Rfam family "Bacterial small subunit ribosomal RNA", at positions 54 to 379 of the family's 1533-position model. The record is from RNAcentral. Lineage: Bacteria; Bacillati; Actinomycetota; Actinomycetes; Actinomycetales.